RNAcentral lists this ribosomal RNA (239 nucleotides) under uncultured bacterium. RNAcentral's name for it is "partial 16S ribosomal RNA". It matches the Rfam family "Bacterial small subunit ribosomal RNA", at positions 100 to 334 of the family's 1533-position model. The record is from RNAcentral.
CCCACCUGUUUGCAUGUACGGGUGAGUAAAGCGCGCAUUAACCUCGCCCUAACCAAGUUUCUUUCGCCGUGCGGGCAGCCGUGUAGGUGGGGGAGUUUUGGUUAGAGCGUGGUGUGUGGUGGCUUCGGGAGGGGCUUGCGGCCUAUCAGGUAGUUGGUGGGGUAACGGCCUACCAAGCCAUCGACGGGUAGCUGGUCUGAGAGGAUGGUCAGCCGGACUGGGACUGCGAUACGGCCCAG